UUAGUGUUCUUCACUAAAUGGUGCCUCGCGUGUUCAUGCAGGCCUAGCAAUGGUGGGUUCACUGAGGGGAAAAAUAUAUUUAUAUUUAUAGCAGAAACUUAUUCAUUGUGUCUCAUACAAUUAAUAUAAUUAUUAUAAAGUGACAUAAACAUAAUUUAGUUAAAUAAAUAGUAACUUUAAGUAACCGAGGGAUCAGCAUGGGUUAAACUGAGUUAUAAACGCCAACACGACACCAUUAACUUAAAGAUGUGAAUUCACCGUUACGUUAUUCUGCGAAAUAAACACCAGUAAAGGCGUGAAUUCUCACUUAAUCUGCAAAAAAUACAAUAUAAUAUACGUAAAAUGUACUGCGUCCUCAAGUAUAAACCUGGAUAAUUCGGAGAACCUGGCAAUUCGUUUAGCGAAUAACGUUAACGUACUUAUCUGAGGCGGUAAUGUAAUGGCCAUGUUUUAGUUUUUUUUUCUUUUUUUUUUGUCGAAAUUACUGAGAGCUGCACUCUAUUUAACCUAAAGAGGACUUAAUAAAUACAGUUCAGUACUCACCGUAACUUUAUAGAUGAAAAUCCGCCUGGAAAUUGUUUCCUUUCGUCGCUAAGCAUCUCUUGCUCUCCCGCACACAGGAAUUUUAAUCCACUACGAUUCGCGCAUGCGCACGCGCACACUCGUUUUUUACUGCAAGGCUUGUUGGGCCAAAACAGAUUUUUCACUUCUGCUAGAUAAAUUGGCUGAAAACAAUUUAAUAUGUUCGGUGAAUAUAUAUUUUUAACUUUAACUUCAGACCUUCAGCUAAAAUUAGCACAAUGCAUUUUUUUGUUUUGGGGUAUUUUUUGGGAAGCAAUAUGUUGAGCCAAUGUUUAUUUGUCAGUUUCCCCAAUUUUUCAAAAUGUAAAUUUUUUACAGUGUACAUGAAAAUUAUGCAGCAAAUCAUAGAACACAAAAUCUUAGUUUGAUAGAGAGUGUUUAUUGAAGUCAAGAAAAAAAAAGGCUACUGGUAAAUUUCCAUCCAAUUCUUGGUCAGUAUAACCUAUAUAAGUUUCAUUAAUAACUCAGCUGGGAUUUCAGCUAGUCUUUACGUUGCAUUGUUUUUAUGCAAAUUAAAACUGGAUAGAUUUAAAAUAUCAAUAUUGGAUCAUGAUAUGGUCAAUUCAAGUACCAAGAAUAGCCCCACAGGAAAAAAAAAGAAGAAAAAAAAGUAUGAAUAGGACUUCAAAAAUACUAAUAUUCAGAAAUAUUCAAAUAUUCAAAAAUACUAGUAUUCAGAAAUAUUCAAAAAUACUAGUAAAUUGGUUCUGACUAUCUUGGGUGAACAGCACAUUUACCAAAAAAGCUGUUUAUUGGCAUUACUGAUGUGUUAAAAGGGCUUAUCACUCUCCAAUCAUUAUUUUGAAAGAACACUCACUGUGUUCCGUAGCAACAGGAGCUUUUAACAGCAGCUGCGAUGAUGCGAUGGAUUUACCAAUCAACGAUUGGCUGUUCAAUUUAGAAGGCGGGACUUAUUCCACCAUAUUGGCGUUGCAUUUUCUUCCAUACAAGUUAAUUGAGAGAAAAUGGCGGUUUGUCCUUCUUUGUCGAGUUUGUCUACGGAUGGAUUAAUUAAAAAACUAAUUGAAGCUGGAAUACAAGUUACUGAAGAGGAGACAAGGAAAUUCAGGGAUGAGAAGUGCUACACAGCACUAGUUCUCACACAUCUUCUGCCACCAUUACCUGGGAGUCGCUGCACUGUUAAAUGUGCAAUUUCAUUCCUUCUUGAUUUUGUACUGGCUGGAACCAGCAUUGCAUCCCUCUGCAGCAACUCCGAGACAUCAAAGACCCAACCACAACUCAUCUGCAUUGGCAGUCUAGAGUACUACAUGACAAUACAUAAUCAUCGCGAGAAAUAACAGCGUGACCAUAUCUGCAAGUGAGAGCCUGACAUGCGCUGUGGACAAGCUCUUCAAGCUGUACUGGGUAUGCAAUGUGGCUGUCACAAAUCCAGUCUGUGCACUUCCGUUCAUUCACCACCAGAGGUCACUCGCUCACCACAUGGACUUUCACACCACACAUCACAAUGGACUCCAUUUCCCAUCAUUCAAUGCACUGAUUGCACACACCGCUGUAGGCACUGAUCACACAGCAUCACUAAUCACACACACUAUUUAAACCCUGGAUGUUCUCUCCCUCGUGGCCGAGUAUUGUAUGCGAUUACCGCUCCCCUAGCCGUAGCUACUCUUGCAUUACCUGUUCACCUGUGUUUAUUUCUACCCGUGUUUCCUGGAUUAACCCUUUCUGUGCCAUUCCGUGUUUCUUUUCAGUUACUGUAUUGUUCUGCGUUUUAGCGUUUAGUGUCCUAGUGUUAGCUGCGAUACAGAACUUUUGUUGUUUUCUAGUCUGUGUUCUUAGUGUUUACUCCUGUCUCCCUGUUCGGACUCUGAUUAUUUCCCUUGCCUGGAUUAUAGCUCAUGUACCUGGAUUAUCUCUCUGCCUAGCCCCUUCGGAUACUGUUCGCUGUCGACCGACCUUUGCUUGCCCUAGGAUUACUCUUUGUCUUGUCCCUGCCAUACCUGUUUGCCAUUGCUCGACCCUGCCUGUAUUUAUGACCAUGCCUGUAAAUAAAAGCUUGCACUUGGAUCCGCACGUCUCACGUCUCGUCAGCCCUGUUACAGUGGCCUAUCCACCACAGCUCAGCUCUGUGUUUACUUUCUUUGAAUACAUCUAUGAUGUGACCAUUUCGACAAACAGGAAAGCCAAGGUACUAGAACUUAUUUCAAAACUUCAAGCCGCACAGUAUUUCCCGAGAAUGUAAACAUGUCCAAAGUGCAUACAACCAGUGUCAACAAAAUAAAUAAACUAAUUUGGCAUCUACGUGAAGUACAUUAUCAGAUGGACAGGACCUGACAAUUAUGUGCAGCCAACUUCAACUCAU
Onychostoma macrolepis is the source of this 2902-nucleotide long non-coding RNA. RefSeq lists it as uncharacterized. The transcript is spliced from 3 exons. The record is from RefSeq and is a predicted model, not a curated record. NCBI's taxonomy places the organism in Eukaryota, Metazoa, Chordata, Actinopteri, Cypriniformes, Cyprinidae.